AGACAUGGAAUCUCUUUCUUCAGUGUUCCGUUUUCUUUCGAUGCGUGUACAGUACUCGAAUUAAGGAAAGGGAUUCGAAAGAAAGAAAGUUUCCAUGAAAAAGGAAAAGGAGCACUUGCAUCUACCCUUGU
This is a non-coding RNA of Aspergillus fumigatus Af293, 131 nucleotides long. The record is from the annotation of a RefSeq genome assembly. Lineage: Eukaryota; Fungi; Ascomycota; Eurotiomycetes; Eurotiales; Aspergillaceae.